AGAGUUUGAUCCUGGCUCAGAACGAACGCUGGCGGCAUGCCUAACACAUGCAAGUCGAACGAAGCCUUCGGGCUUAGUGGCGCACGGGUGCGUAACGCGUGGGAAUCUGCCCUUGGGUUCGGAAUAACAGUUAGAAAUGACUGCUAAUACCGAAUGAUGUCUUCGGACCAAAGAUUUAUCGCCUAAGGAUGAGCCCGCGUAGGAUUAGCUAGUUGGUGAGGUAAAGGCUCACCAAGGCGACGAUCCUUAGCUGGUCUGAGAGGAUGAUCAGCCACACUGGGACUGAGACACGGCCCAGACUCCUACGGGAGGCAGCAGUGGGGAAUAUUGGACAAUGGGCGAAAGCCUGAUCCAGCAAUGCCGCGUGAGUGAUGAAGGCCUUAGGGUUGUAAAGCUCUUUUACCCGGGAUGAUAAUGACAGUACCGGGAGAAUAAGCUCCGGCUAACUCCGUG
Molecule: ribosomal RNA, 453 nt
Filed under: uncultured bacterium
Lineage: Bacteria
Description: bacterial SSU rRNA
Rfam family: Bacterial small subunit ribosomal RNA
Source: RNAcentral